Molecule: long non-coding RNA, 4667 nt
Organism: Parasteatoda tepidariorum (common house spider)
Lineage: Eukaryota; Metazoa; Arthropoda; Arachnida; Araneae; Theridiidae
Source: RefSeq, a predicted model, not a curated record
UUAAAACUAAUUUCUAAAUUUUUGCCUGGUUCCAUUUUAUAAACUGUUUGUAUUACGUUUGUGCAAAACGUAUACAAAAUUCAGUAUAGUUAAGUCAUUUUUGGAGCAUUUUUUGAAGUUGUGUAAGAUAUAAGCAUUUAAAGUAGUUCUUUACUGAUAAACAAAAUUGAACGGAAAACAGAUUUUCUUAAUGUAGUGAAUGUUAUUUAAUUACUAACGAAAUUUAAGAUUGUAAUCUGACUUUUCGUUUCAAUCAAUUUUCCAAGAAUAAAAUCUGAAAUAAAACUGUUUAAAAUCUCUCUUGAGAAUUGUAUUUAACAAUUCGACAGUAUCUGAUUUUGAGUAUUUCAAACUAAGCUCUUAAAAUCACAUCGUUUGAUACGAAAUUUGUAGAAAAUCUCUAAACAGUUAUAGGGUAUUGAUAAAACAUACAAUUUGUUUACUUUCAUGUUAAACUUGAUUUUUAGUUAUGAAAAAUAAAUGGACUUUGUAAAGAAAAAAAAGGUUUACAGCUAAAUUAAGCCCCUCCUAGCGCAGAAUUGAUGGAGACUAUACGAAUGGAGAAACCUAAAAACUAUAUUUGUUUCGAACUUAAUUAGAUAAUUAAGCAUUUUUAAUAGUCUAUAUUUGCAUUAAAGUAAGUUAAUAAAAGCAAUUCUAAUAUAAGCACUUAACGGUUCGUCGUGUUUUGAUUGAGCUUAAAUCCAAUGAUUUUAUAGUGUUGUGGUGUAAUUGCAGUUGAAAGUAAAAUUUAAUAAAACAAAUUGCCAACAAAAUGCGCACUUGGCUCAGGAAUUUUCAAUGUAAUUUUAAACUAAAAUAAAUAAAAGAAUUAUUUUAGCAAGUAGCUAAUUUUGUCAAGGUAAUGCGCUAUUCAGUCUAGUUAAAGUACUUAACGUAAAUUGAAGAUAAAUUUUAAGUCUAUGACAAAUUUAUGAGUUUUAAUGAUACUUAUUCGCUGCUGGAGUAGCAAAAUAAUGACUAACUGUUCAGUUCAAGCAGAAUAAUGACUAACUAUUCAGUAAUCACGUAACACACCUUAACAUUGACCAUAAUACUAAUUCGCUGCUUCAGUGGUAGAAUAAGUAUAAGAGUAAACUCCAUUUUUGAAUAAAAGUAAAAUUAUAAUUGGGAUUGGGCUCAAUAGAAACUGUGAAAAGUUAGUAAAUUAACCAGGCAAUUUUAUUUAAAAACAAUCUGAAUGACGAAAUUUUUGUAGUAAUUUUGUUACAAAAGUCACGGUGAGUUCUUCAAAGUAAAAACUAAUUUACAAAUGACUAUGAAAAGGAUCUUUUAGUUGCAAUUGUCGUAAACUGAAAAUAACUUACAAAUUGCGUUUAUUACAUUUGAGAGCACUUACAGCAAACUUCAUUCAAACCGUAAGCCUAAAUUCCAUUUUACAGAGAAUCAUAUUGGCAUUUAGUUCUAGCCCUACUUUAAUGUUAGAAACGAAACUAGUAAAAAAUUAAGUUUCAUGAAAUUUUAUGCGUAGAAGAAUUUUUUUUAUAUUUGAAAAAUUACUUUAAAUAGAAAGUAAAUAUAAAAAGAUGUUUUCAAUCUCUUGUAUUUCAAUGUCUUGUAUUUGCUUGAAACAUUUUAAAACUAAAGUAAUGUAAAAGUUGCUGAAUUAACGUAUCGUCUUGCGUUUGUAGCCCAGCACAUCUCAUAAUACAAGCCUUCGAGCUAUACAAAACUAUUUGUAACUAAAGGAAAGACCCAGCGCAUAUGCAGAAUAUUUUUAAUUCAAAAAAUUAAAUAAAAUUUGAUCAUAAACAUUAAAAGUUUAUACAAUUUCCAGUUUAACAAAUUUUAACUAGAGUAGGCGAACCUUCUUAUAAAAUAAAAAGGCUUGAAGUAAUUUCUGAAAAUUUACAUGAUAUUUUAUUACUUCAGGAAAUUAAAUUCCUACACAGGUUUCCUCUAAAGUAGUUUUAAAAUGUUUACCUGAAGUGUUUUUUAGUUAUAAUAGGUCAGCAGUGCUAUUUUGUGAGAGGUCAGACUCUAAAGUACAUAAUACAAUAAUUCAUAGUUUGAUUUACAAAAUUAAGAGUUCAAGUUCUAAGGAGAAAAAAAGGAUUAAAUUUUUUGCUUUAAUAUUACUUUUAAACACUAAUUUCAGCGGAGAUAGUUUAGAGAUUUUUAAAUUUCAAUCUUAAGCUAUUGAGUCUUUUCUAAUCUUUUUCAGAAGAGCUUCUUAACCUAUCAUUCGAAACCAGACUAUAGCUGAACGGAGAAUCUCACAGGAUGAAAGGGACUAUCAACCGUUUCUUGAUUAACAGACUCAACCAGGAAUGAAUUCUGACUUUAAGGACAUCGCAUCAAGUUUUUAGAAUUUGCCACUUCUAUUGGAAUAUUCACCUAUGCUUUACUUCGUGAAACUGAGUCUCUCAUGCAAAGAGAAAAAUCUUCUAGAAUCUGCACAAAAUGGUUUACUACAUGAAAAUGAGUAGCAGACGUAACGAGUUGAAUAAGGACUCUAUACAGGUCAAGAACUCUUUAUAUUGUGGAAUUGUUUUAGUUUGUACACUUCACAUUAAUUGCCUAUACAUUGUACUAGACUGAUACAGAUAUUUAAGAUCUUUUGUUACUUUCCUUUUUUUUAAUGAAUAGUCUAGAGAAUGUUUUUAAAACAUUAGGAUGUAAUUAAAAACAUUUACUUUAAAUUUUGGCUGUAAUAUUCCUAUAUUAUGAAUGCCAAAGAGCAGAUUUUUAUGAAUUUUAAUUUUCUAUUUAUUCUUUAAACCUUCACGGCCAACUCUUUAAUAUGUACAACAUUCAAAUAAAUAUUGGUUAAAGCAAAUACUGUUAGAUGCAAAAAUUAUUUUAACAAAAAUAUCGGUCAUGUAGAUAAAAUCUCCAGAUGCGUUGAUUUCCUCACCACCGAAUAUCGAAACUAGUGAAAAAUUCUUUCCUUAGCCAAAAUUUCAAUUCUAAGUAAGAUGUUCUGGAACGUUUUAUGUAGUCAUCAAGAAAAUUGUAAGAUUUUAACUCUUAGAUAUUUUACUCUCUAUUUAAAGUUAUCAUUUAGGCUCGUAUGAUUGGAAACAUCGGGCUAUCACUUAGUCUUUGGAAAUUCCUACCUAAGCGUUAAUUUUGCCAAACUUAUCUAAAUUUAGAUUGAUCCAAUAAUUAGAAGCAACUAGCAUUUUUAUUAUGAAAAAGUAUUUUUUUUAAAAAAUUCAGUGCUUUCAAACUAACUGCAUCGAAUGUAGCUCUUUAUUAGCGUGUUUUAAAAAGCCAUUCAAAUUUAGGAUAAAAAGGGUGCGAUUCUAAAAAAAUUCAAUUAGAAAAUUUCUCGAAACUUUAUUUAAUUAUUAAGUAUUUUUGGUUGGAAAUUUUUACUAUUUUUCUCGAUGCACAAAACAGACUAAGAAUACCUUUAAAGUCCUACUUAAUUCAGAAGUAUCUGAUUUUGUGUAUAUCAGAAACUGAACUUAAAACCACAUCGUUAGAUACAAAAUUUAUAGAACUACAAAAGGGCAUUGAUAAAAAUAAAAUUUGUUUACUUUCAAAUUGGACUAUAUUUUUUGUCAUUAAAAAGAAAUGGAUUUAACUAUAAUUUUUUCCAAUUAAGUUAAUUUCCCGCCUUGUAAUGUAAAAACCUAAAUACAGUUUUAAAUUUAAUUAUAAAAUGAAGCAUUUUUAAUAGUCUACAUACUUACAUUAAGAUGAGUUAAAAAAAUUCUAAAAUAAAUACUUCUAAGCAAUUAGUCUUUGAUUUAGCUUAAAUCCAAGGAUUUUAUAGUAUUGUGGUGUAAUUGCAGUUUAAAGUGAAAAUUAAUAAGACAAGUUACCAACAAAAUUCGUUCUUGUCUCUGUUAUUUUAAACCAAAAUAAUAAGUUUAUUUUAGCAAGUAGCUAAUUUUGUAGAGGUAAUACGCUAUUCAGUCCAGUCAAAUUACUCAUGGUAAAUUAAAGAUAAAUUUUAUUUUGUCUAUGACAAAUUUAUGACUUUUAAUGAUGCUUAUUCGCUGCUGAAGUAGCAAAAUAAUGACUAACUGUUCAAUAAUCACGUAACAUAUCUUAACAUCAACCAUAUAACACUAAUUCGCUGCUUCAGUGGUAGAAUAAGAAUAGAAUAUAACAGUGUACUUUUGAGUAAAAUUAUAAUUGGGAUUGGACUGAAUAGUAUCUGCCUUAAAAAUUGGUAAUUUAACUGGAAAUUUUAUGUUUAGUAUAAAUCACACUUUUAAUUACUUAAGUUUUAUAAAAAUUUUGUUUCAAAGGUCACUUCAAAGUAAAACUAAUUUUCGAACGGCUGUAAAAAAAGAUCUUUUAGUCGAAAUUCUCAUAAACUUGAAAUAACUUAAAAACUGCGCUUAUUACAUUUGAGAUUACUUAUAACAAACUUCAUUCAAACCGUAAGUUUAAAUCCACUUCACAGAAAAAUCAGGUUGGCAUAUAGUUCUAGCCCUACUUGAUUUUCUUCUAGUUUUGUUUUUGACAUUAAAGUUAUCAAAUUUUAUGUGUAGAAGAAACUUGUUAUGUUUGAAAAAUUUAUUUAAAUAGAAAAUAAAUAUGAAGAGAUGUUUCAAUGUCUUGUCUUGCAUUUCAAUGUUUUAUAUUUGUCUGAAAUUAAAAUUUAAAAUUAAAGCAUUGCUGAAUUUACGUAUCGCCUUGCGUUUGGAGUCCCGCACAUAAGCAUAAGAGCUUUUGUGCUACACAAA